ACUUUGCUGUGCCAGGAAAACUGGUAUGAACCAUAGUUAACAUAUAUCUGAAUUAAACUCGACUCAAGUCUGACCCUUACUUAACUUUUACUUUUUGCAAUCCAUAUUUAACAUCUAUAGACUAUAUUAACUUCCUUAUAACAACUUUCCUUCUGUAUACUUUGCUUGUUGACUGAACGCCCCUAAUAUCCUGAUUACUUUUAGCCAAUCGCGGGACAAAUACUGCAGAAUCAUCCUGAAUCUGUAGAUCUGGCUGCAGAUGUUAAGCAUUUAUCAAAAAUAAAAAAUUAUAUGUAGCGGAUUGAACUAAAUAUUUCUACCUGCAGGGCUAAAUAACAAAUUCCCAUCCUAGUGACUGUGUUAUUCAAUGCACAAG
RNAcentral lists this long non-coding RNA (376 nucleotides) under Mytilus galloprovincialis (Mediterranean mussel). The record is from RNAcentral. Lineage: Eukaryota; Metazoa; Mollusca; Bivalvia; Mytilida; Mytilidae.